GAUGAACGCUGGCGGCGUGCCUAAUACAUGCAAGUCGAGCGAACGGACGAGAAGCUUGCUUCUCUGAUGUUAGCGGCGGACGGGUGAGUAACACGUGGAUAACCUACCUAUAAGACUGGGAUAACUUCGGGAAACCGGAGCUAAUACCGGAUGAUAUUUUGAACCGCAUGGUUCAAAAGUGAAAGACGGUCUUGCUGUCACUUAUAGAUGGAUCCGCGCUGCAUUAGCUAGUUGGUAAGGUAACGGCUUAUCAAGGCAACGAUGCAUAGCCGACCUGAGAGGGUGAUCGGCCACACUGGAACUGAGACACGGACCAGACUCCUACGGGAGGCAGCAGUAGGGAAUCUUCCGCAAUGGGCGAAAGCCUGACGGAGCAACGCCGCGUGAGUGAUGAAGGUCUUCGGAUCGUAAAACUCUGUUAUUAGGGAAGAACAUAUGUGUAAGUAACUGUGCACAUCUUGACGGUACCUAAUCAGAAAGCCACGGCUAACUACGUG
This 497-nucleotide ribosomal RNA is filed under the name uncultured bacterium. Its description in RNAcentral is "partial 16S ribosomal RNA". It matches the Rfam family "Bacterial small subunit ribosomal RNA", at positions 28 to 507 of the family's 1533-position model. The record is from RNAcentral.